Lentinula edodes (shiitake mushroom) is the source of this 97-nucleotide non-coding RNA. NCBI's taxonomy places the organism in Eukaryota, Fungi, Basidiomycota, Agaricomycetes, Agaricales, Omphalotaceae. The record is from Rfam.
GACUCAAUAGCUUAAUGGUAGAGUAUUUGAUAAAUAUUGCCUCUUGAAGUACCUUACUUAUAAUCAAAAGGCCAGGGUUUGAAUCCCUGUUGAUGCU